Long non-coding RNA from Dreissena polymorpha, 416 nucleotides. RefSeq lists it as uncharacterized. The record is from RefSeq and is a predicted model, not a curated record. Lineage: Eukaryota; Metazoa; Mollusca; Bivalvia; Myida; Dreissenidae. The transcript is spliced from 3 exons.
AAAGCGUUCGACGAUGACGUUGAAGCAGCCAGACAAGCCGCUGUGGACACGGCUACGAAGUUCGCAGGGACGGCCAUUCUUGAUGGGAAGGAGACGGAACUAUUUGUACCCUCGGAACAUGUGCCGGAUGGCAUUCCAGUGACAGUAUAUACACCGGAAGUGUGUCGACAGCAAGGGCGCCUCCUACAAUCUUGGUUUACUUUCAUGGAGGUGGGAACGUGACGAAAGACCGGAAAACACAAGCAACCAUGGCAAUCCGACUGGCAACAAUGGUUCCAUGUAUACUUGUUGACGUGGAAUACCGAAGGUCUCCGGAGCACAAAUUUCCGGCCAGUAAUGAAGACGCAAAGAGCGUAGUGGCGUGGGUGGCUGCAAAUAAAGCAUCGCUAGGUGGCGCUUCUUCCAGUAAAAUCGGC